This is a long non-coding RNA of Canis lupus familiaris (dog), 1356 nucleotides long. RefSeq lists it as uncharacterized. The transcript has 3 exons. NCBI's taxonomy places the organism in Eukaryota, Metazoa, Chordata, Mammalia, Carnivora, Canidae. The record is from RefSeq and is a predicted model, not a curated record.
UCGAGUGACAUGGUAAUAGCAGUAAAACAUCACUGUCAAGGGCACAAUAAAAUUUACUGCAAUAACUGUCAUCGUGAAAGAAACAAAAAAUCUGAAAAUAAGAAAAGGGAAUCAUUAAAUCUCUAUUUGUUUCAUGUGCUGAAUAAGGAAAAGGAAACAGGACAAUUACUAAAAAUAAUACUGGCACUGCUCAACAGUCACUAUAUUAUUAAAUUCUACUCCUGAGAUGCCAAUACCCAAUGGGUGCUCUCUACCCACUCUGCUGCCCCAGGAGACAGAGGACAGAAGAGGAUAAGAAAAUGGAAGAAAAAGCUGAAGGAAGUUGCUCAUUGUUGCAAAGAUACUAAAAGAUGAAAUUCAAAGCUCAAGAGUUUCCCAAUACAGCAUUCUGGGAAUGAGCUGAAUUUUCAAACUGUCCUCAGUGACAAUAAUCUGCUACCUCUUUUUGCAACUUUUUCUUUCUAAGACCUUUCCAUCCUAACUAGAUUCCACCACCAAGACAAGACUAUGAAUAGUAUGUAUGAGAAUAGUAAAUGGCAUAUAUAUUUUUGCCAUGGUACACAUUCUUCACCAAUAAAAACGUAAUAACGAAAUAUAUGAUCAUAAAAGAAUUAUUUUCUAGAAAACUUUUCUCAGUCCCACUUCACUACUGUUACACGAGAUACAAAAUAACUUGUGGCAUUAACCAUCAUUAACAAUGCCUUCAUUUAUCCUUUCACCUACUUUCUCUUUGCUACACAUCGACGAAAUAGGGCAAGUAUUAUUAUCCCUAUUUACAUGAGCACCCCAACUGAGACAAAAUAACUGACUUGUUGGUCAACAAUAUGGAACCUGAAACAUCUCUGAAUCCAUGCUUUUCCUCAUGCCUUAAGCUGAAAACCCCUUUUCUUCACCCAUUCAAAAGCAAAAUAAUGGUUAAUGGAGUAAACAUCCAUACCUGCUGUGAUCAAGUAAGCUGCAACAAUAUUGUGUUCAGUCUGUGAAAAGACGGAGCCAUCUUCAUUUUUAGAGUCUGUACUGUUGUCUAAAUUAUUCCUUAGCAUUUUGGAGGAAGAAAUUGAGACAGCCUUCAUAAUGAGCCUUCAAUAAUUAUGAAAUGUUUUAAGAACCAAUGAAGGAAGAAUUUUCAGAACCAAUCAGUUCCACUCAAAGACCUCAAAGAAGGGCCUUUUCAUAGACGCCCUCUUAACAAAUUUAAUUGGGCUGGAGAAGAAAGGAUUUUAAAUCCCAGAACAAGGAAAAAGCUUAUUAGCAAAAUAAAGAGAAAUACCAAGCACCACACAUUUUAAACACUUUGGGCAUCAGUCUUGUAUCUAAGGAGAUUAUUAAACAUUAAAACAAUAAACAAACUCAAAA